Molecule: ribosomal RNA, 492 nt
Filed under: uncultured bacterium
Lineage: Bacteria
Description: partial 16S ribosomal RNA
Rfam family: Bacterial small subunit ribosomal RNA
Source: RNAcentral
AGUGAACGCUGGCGGUAGGCCUAACACAUGCAGGUCGAACGGCAGCACAGUAAGAGCUUGCUCUUACGGGUGGCGAGUGGCGGACGGGUGAGGAAUACAUCGGAAUCUACUUUUUCGUGGGGGAUAACGUAGGGAAGCUUACGCUAAUACCGCAUACGACCUACGGGUGAAAGCAGGGGAUCUUCGGACCUUGCGCGAUUGAAUGAGCCGAUGUCGGAUUAGCUAGUUGGCGGGGUAAAGGCCCACCAAGGCGACGAUCCGUAGCUGGUCUGAGAGGAUGAUCAGCCACACUGGAACUGAGACACGGUCCAGACUCCUACGGGAGGCAGCAGUGGGGAAUAUUGGACAAUGGGCGCAAGCCUGAUCCAGCCAUACCGCGUGGGUGAAGAAGGCCUUCGGGUUGUAAAGCCCUUUUGUUGGGAAAGAAAAGCAGCAGGUUAAUACCCCGCUGUUCUGACGGUACCCAAAGAAUAAGCACCGGCUAACUUCGUG